This 497-nucleotide ribosomal RNA is filed under the name uncultured bacterium. RNAcentral's name for it is "partial 16S ribosomal RNA". It matches the Rfam family "Bacterial small subunit ribosomal RNA", at positions 28 to 507 of the family's 1533-position model. The record is from RNAcentral.
GAUGAACGCUGGCGGCGUGCCUAAUACAUGCAAGUCGAGCGAACAGACGAGGAGCUUGCUCCUCUGACGUUAGCGGCGGACGGGUGAGUAACACGUGGAUAACCUACCUAUAAGACUGGGAUAACUUCGGGAAACCGGAGCUAAUACCGGAUAAUAUAUUGAACCGCAUGGUUCAAUAGUGAAAGACGGUUUUGCUGUCACUUAUAGAUGGAUCCGCGCCGCAUUAGCUAGUUGGUAAGGUAACGGCUUACCAAGGGAACGAUGCGUAGCCGACCUGACAGGGUGGUCGGCCACACUGGAACUGAGCCACGGUCCAGACUCCUACGGGAGGCAGCAGUAGGGAAUCUUCCGCAAUGGGCGAAAGCCUGACGGAGCAACGCCGCGUGAGUGAUGAAGGUCUUCGGAUCGUAAAACUCUGUUAUUAGGGAAGAACAAAUGUGUAAGUAACUAUGCACGUCUUGACGGUACCUAAUCAGAAAGCCACGGCUAACUACGUG